Molecule: ribosomal RNA, 1275 nt
Filed under: Triticum aestivum (bread wheat)
Lineage: Eukaryota; Viridiplantae; Streptophyta; Magnoliopsida; Poales; Poaceae
Description: partial small subunit ribosomal RNA
Source: RNAcentral
AUGCCACCUUCCGUGCAUGACACGGAAGGCCUGCUGUUCUUGAAGCAUGGUUAUGUCUUCAUUGCGCACCGCCGGAUGAACGACAUGCUGGGACACGCUAUCCCCGAUUUAUGCCGCUUCAGCUUGGAUGAGUCUCCAUCCCGCACACCAUUUACCCCCGCUCACUGCUCGCCCGCCCGCGCCAUCUUCCUUGGUAGCUCGCGCAUACCAUAUCCCCCCGCUCACUGCUCAGCCACACGAGGAGAAGCUUCUUUGCUCGCCUGCCCGAAUCCACUUCCCCCAGACGCAAAUGCGCUGGCCUUCAUGAUUCCAGGACCUGGAAUCAUACUAGCAGAUGGUUUGAAGCACUCAUCUGGUUUGAAGGAUAGUAGAUACCUUCCUGGGAUCAAGUGCAUCCUAACUCACCUGCUACCAUAUUACUGGAAUUACCGAUGCAAGUCGAAGAAGGAUUGGCUGGUGCUGCCGGCUGGCGUCAAGUUCGAUCCCAUGGAUCAUGAGCUGAUCGAGCACCUUGAGGCCAAAGUGAGUGCUGACAGUGCGAGAUUUCAGUCUCUCAUCGAUUUGUUCAUACCAACCAUCGACAGCGAGCACAGCAUAUGCUACACCCAACCUGAGAAACUUCCAGCAAAAAAGGUUCUGGUGCUGCACAUCAACAAGAACUUCGACCAGCAGAGGACCAACUGGGUGAUGCACCAGUACCACCUUGGGGACCUGGAGCAAGAGAAGGAGAGGGAGCUGGUCCUCUGCAAGAUUUUCUACCAUACGAACAUUAGGGCCAGGAGUAAAAAGAUUAUAAGUCGAGCAAGUUUCAACUGGGCUGUAGACUGCCCAGGGUUGGUUUUGUUUUUACUAGGCCCAACCCAUGACGACAACGGGGCACAAAGAUCCAGCAGGAAUCCAUGCCAGGCAAACUGCGUCGAGUCUGGUUUCGCCGCCACCGUCCACCUCUCUCAGUGCGCCACCGCCGGCCCCCUCCACCAGCGCGUCACCGAGCGCCCCCUGCACGACACAACUCCGUCUACACCAUGUCUUGGAGAUGCUCCAACAGCUCCUCGUCCUCCCUCCAGUACAAAUGCACAUUUUUCUAUAGUACAUGACUUGGGCACGAGCUCGUCCAACAGGGGUGCUAGCAACCGUCCAAGUGGAGCGUUGAAAACAGUACGAGUAGAAUCACGGGUCGCGGCCACCAACUUCACCAAGUGCUGCACAUCCGUCCAAGUCGAGCACACACACAGGGAGAACACCAGCGCCUUUGCUUUGCACAUUGCUUGGUAA